AGGUGGGAGGCUUUGAAACCAGGACGCCAGUUUUGGCGGAGCCAUCCUUGGGAUACCACCCUUGUAGUACUGGGACUCUAACCAUAGGCCAUGAAUCUGGUCUUGGGACACUGUCAGGUGGGCAGUUUGACUGGGGCGGUCGCCUCCCAAAAGGUAACGGAGGCGCUCAAAGGUUCUCUCAGUACGGUCGGAAAUCGUACGUAGAGUGUAAAGGCAAAAGAGAGCUUGAUUGCAAGACAUACAGGUCGAGCAAGGAUGAAAAUCGGACUUAGUGAUCCGGUGGUUCUGCGUGGAAGGGCCAUCGCUCAACGGAUAAAAGCUACCCUGGGGAUAACAGGCUUAUCUCCCCCAAGAGUCCACAUCGACGGGGAGGUUUGGCACCUCGAUGUCGGCUCAUCACAUCCUGGGGCUGUAGUAGGUCCCAAGGGUUGGGCUGUUCGCCCAUUAAAGUGGUACGCGAGCUGGGUUCAGAACGUCGUGAGACAGUUCGGUCCCUAUCCGUCGCAGGCGUAGGAAAUUUGAGAAGACCUGUCCUUAGUACGAGAGGACCGGGAUGGACGUACCUCUGGUGUACCAGUUGUUCUGCCAAGGGCAUGGCUGGGUAGCUAUGUACGGAAUGGAUAAGCGCU
RNAcentral lists this ribosomal RNA (629 nucleotides) under Clostridioides difficile. RNAcentral describes it as "partial 23S ribosomal RNA". It matches the Rfam family "Bacterial large subunit ribosomal RNA", at positions 2145 to 2772 of the family's 2925-position model. The record is from RNAcentral. Lineage: Bacteria; Bacillati; Bacillota; Clostridia; Peptostreptococcales; Peptostreptococcaceae.